Molecule: transfer RNA, 74 nt
Filed under: Candidatus Woesebacteria bacterium RIFCSPHIGHO2_01_FULL_39_95
Lineage: Bacteria; Candidatus Woeseibacteriota
Also listed under: 4 other names
Description: tRNA-Gln
Rfam family: tRNA
About the family: Transfer RNA (tRNA) molecules are approximately 80 nucleotides in length. Their secondary structure includes four short double-helical elements and three loops (D, anti-codon, and T loops).
Source: RNAcentral
UGCGGGAUGGUGUAAUGGUAGCACGCCACGCUCUGGACGUGGAAAUUGGGGUUCAAAUCCCUGUCCCGCAGCCA